RNAcentral lists this unclassified non-coding RNA (390 nucleotides) under uncultured Gemmatimonadaceae bacterium. RNAcentral describes it as "contains 16S-23S intergenic spacer region". Lineage: Bacteria; Pseudomonadati; Gemmatimonadota; Gemmatimonadia; Gemmatimonadales; Gemmatimonadaceae. The record is from RNAcentral.
UCCGGUUUGGCACCGGCAGUCCCCCUAGAGUGCCCGGCUCGGCCGAAGCCUCUCCGCUGGUAACUAGGGGCGGGGGUUGCGCUCGUUGCGGGACUUAACCCAACAUCUCACGACACGAGCUGACGACAGCCAUGCAGCACCUGUGCACGGACUCCGAAGAGGGCCCCCCGUUUCUGGGGGGUUUCCCGUACAUGUCAAGCCCGGGUAAGGUUCUUCGCGUUGCGUCGAAUUAAACCACAUGCUCCACCGCUUGUGCGGGCCCCCGUCAAUUCCUUUGAGUUUCAGCCUUGCGGCCGUACUCCCCAGGCGGGGCACUUAAUGCGUUAGCGACGGCACUCGGAGGGUCGCUCCCCCAAGCGCCUAGUGCCCAUCGUUUAUGGCGUGGACUAC